RNAcentral lists this ribosomal RNA (545 nucleotides) under uncultured bacterium. RNAcentral's name for it is "bacterial SSU rRNA". It matches the Rfam family "Bacterial small subunit ribosomal RNA", at positions 77 to 658 of the family's 1533-position model. The record is from RNAcentral.
AGCUUGCUAAUAAUUCUCUAGUGGCGCACGGGUGAGUAACACGUGAGUACCUGCCCCCAAGAGUGGGAUAGCCCCGGGAAACUGGGAUUAAUACCGCAUAAAGCAAUAAAGCAGCAAUGCGCUUGGGGAUGGGCUCGCGUCCUAUUAGUUAGUUGGUGAGGUAACGGCUCACCAAGGCGAUGACGGGUAGCCGGUCUGAGAGGAUGUCCGGCCACACUGGAACUGAGACACGGUCCAGACACCUACGGGUGGCAGCAGUCGAGAAUCAUUCACAAUGGGGGAAACCCUGAUGGUGCGACGCCGCGUGGGGGAAGAAGGUCUUCGGAUUGUAAACCCCUGUCAUGUGGGACAUUAAAAGAUAGUACCACAAGAGGAAGAGACGGCUAACUCUGUGCCAGCAGCCGCGGUAAUACAGAGGUCUCAAGCGUUGUUCGGAAUCACUGGGCGUAAAGCGUGCGUAGGCGGUUUCGUAAGUCGUGUGUGAAAGGCGGGGGCUCAACCCCCGGACUGCACAUGAUACUGCGAGACUAGAGUAAUGGAGGGGG